GCACUUUUUACAAGUAUACUGUUGGUGUAUUUAAUCAAAAUUGGUGGUAACAGCAUAGACAUGAAAAAAAGUACACUAUAUUUUUUUCACUAAAUGUCUUGAAAUUUCUUUUCUCUACACUGUCGUUCAAGAAACGAGGCGUUUUAAAUGUAAAGAGAUUACUUUGCACUUUUGAGAUCAACACUGACUGAUUCAAUAUUCAUAGGGAGAAUAAUUUAAUGGCUGAUGUAAGUAGCGGUAACAGGAAAGACAUGAACCCCCUGUACGCAGAUUCAAUUUAGUUUGUAGAUAAUAUGUUACAUACAAUGAUAUAGAAGCUACGAUUUUUUGUUAGAGUAAUAUUUAACGUUCUUAAAAAGUCCCUUUUGCAGAUAUCAAGG
RNAcentral lists this long non-coding RNA (380 nucleotides) under Mytilus galloprovincialis (Mediterranean mussel). Lineage: Eukaryota; Metazoa; Mollusca; Bivalvia; Mytilida; Mytilidae. The record is from RNAcentral.